GGACCCGGCGUGCCGGACCCGGCCCCUGGCGCUCCCUUUCCUCCUGCAGGCGGCUCCAGGAGACUGCAGGAGCUUGGGGGUUUCUGCAGCCCCUCCAGGCUCGAGGGGACCUUGGGUCCCUGUCCAGGCUUUCCUGGUCUCGGCGGCGUUCCGGAAGGGAACGAACCGCCUGUCCGCGCUACCUGCUCCAGCGCUCGCCACAGACGGGUGUCUUCUCAGACCCUGUCCCCCGGAAGGAGACCCAGCGGCGGCAACCUGACAACUUCUAGUCAGGAGCUGAGAGUCAGGCCCGGCGGAUAUGUUUGGCUUUAAGGCCGGCUGACGGUGUGGAGAAGCCAGUACUAUACAGCGGUGAAGCAGAAGGAGCUAAGCGAUGGGCAGAGCCCGUUCCCUGAUUCAUAACUUAUAGGAGGAAACUGAAGAACACCAGUGAAAAAAAGAAAGGAAAACAGGGUCCUGUCCCUGUGCUAGAAGCUUCAUGCAUGUUACUUACUUGGGCAGCUUUAUGAAGUGUGUGUUACUAGUACCAUCUUACAGAUGGAGGAAGCCGGGUCUCAGAGUAAGAAACAUGUCCAAAGCUGCAGAGUUAAUCAGUGGCUGGACAGGCUUGAGUCUGGUCUGCCAGCUCCUGAUACAGCACACCUUCCAGGUGAGAUGGGAAAUGCACCGCCGUCAGCACACUCGGUGCACACUCGGUGCACACUCGGUGCUCAGUCAGGGCCGGCUGGCCGGCCUUCUGUGAGAUGGGUCUCCUGGUCCCAGCUAGUGUUUGUGAAAUAAAUGGGAACACUUUGCAGAGAAGGAAAUCAUAAAAAAGUUGAGAGAUUAUUUGCCCUAUAGCCUUUUUAUAACAAGGCAAGUAAGUAAAAAGAUUAUAAAAUAGUUCUGCUUCAGUUUUAGAGGCGGUCCUAUUUCAAUUGUUUAAUGUUAUUCACAGCUUAUUAAGGCAUGACUUACAAAUAUUACUAAUUGCAUAACUGAAGCACAGAUUGGUUAAGUAUCUUUUCUUUGCACAGAAAAUCUAGAAUUUAUAAACUUAAAAACUGAGUUUUCUGGGAAUAAUUAAGCCUGUAAAAGAUACCCGUUUUUGGUGAAAAUACAGGUUUCCAAAGACCAGUUAUAGUUAUAACCUCUGUUCUUCUGCUUGUAUGGAGCAUUUGAUGCUUUCUUUCCUAAAAUAUGAAGAAGGUAAAGAGAACAUGGUUUCCCUUCUAUAGAGAAAGGCUACUUACCUUUUCUCCUCUUUUUAAGGUGAAAUCAGAAUUCUGGAAUUCAGAUAAACUAGAGUUGAAGAAUAAUCAUUACUUUUUCUGGUCUGGAUACUGCUUGUUUUUAUUUACUUUUGCCCGGAAUAAUAAGUAAUUGGAAAUUAGGCGAGGAAAGCCCUAUUACAGAAAGAGAAAACAAAGUCUAAGCUCUCUGCUGACCUCUGCAGGAUAUAUUUUGAAAUGCAAUUCCCAACACGCUUUCUCUCAACUUUGUAACUAUGUUUGUAAGGAUCUUAUGUAGAUGGCUAUAUCAACAAUCUUAAUCUGUAGAGAAAUAUGGAUAACAGUACAGAUAACAUCUGUUUCCUCAGCCCUUGUGUAGCUCUCAUGUUUCAUAUUACUAAAUUAAACAUGUUUUUAAAGCAUAUAAGUGUAUGAAAGUUGCUACAGUUCACAAGAAAUAUUUUAAGGGCUUUUUCUAAAUACAAGAAAACUAAGUUCCACUUCAAAACUCUAAAAUUUGGGGUGCCUGGGUGGCUCAGUCCAUUACGUGUGUGCCUUCAGCUCACGUCAUAAUCCCAGGGUUCUGGGAUAAAGCCCCGAAGAGGGCUUCCUCUCAUCAGGGGAUCUGUUUCUCCCUCUCCCUGCUUGAGUUCUAUCUCAAAUAAAUGAACAAAUCUAAGAAAAUACAAACAAACAAACAA
Molecule: long non-coding RNA, 1912 nt
Organism: Mustela lutreola (European mink)
Lineage: Eukaryota; Metazoa; Chordata; Mammalia; Carnivora; Mustelidae
Exons: 3
Source: RefSeq, a predicted model, not a curated record